Pseudophryne corroboree (corroboree frog) is the source of this 331-nucleotide long non-coding RNA. RefSeq lists it as uncharacterized. The transcript is spliced from 4 exons. NCBI's taxonomy places the organism in Eukaryota, Metazoa, Chordata, Amphibia, Anura, Myobatrachidae. The record is from RefSeq and is a predicted model, not a curated record.
GUUACUGACGUCGCACGGCUCAGCUACUUCUUCUCCGCCGAUCACUUCGUCAGCCGCUCUUCCUAUCUUGUUCUCCCCGGACACCGCCAGCCACUCCAGCCUCUCCUUGCAGAAAUGUCUCUCUUGAGAGUCCAGCAGAAGUCAGCCAGCAAAUUUGGGGCUCAACUUGACUUGAAAUACUGACCUCUUCAUCCCAAAGGAUAGAAUCCCGACACGGGUUGGGUUAAUCGGCUUCUGAUACUAACGGGACGUUCCAUAGUGGCAGGAGGCUGUCCUGCCAUGUUCUUCAAAAUGAUAUGAGGAAGUCAAGAAGAAGCAAGUGGUCAUUGCU